UUCGCAAUGCCCGAAAGGGUGACGAUGCGACGCCGCGUGAGCGAAGAAGGCCCUAGGGUUGUAAAGCUCUGUCGAGGUUUAUGAAAUAUAGAUGGGUUAAUACCCCAUUUAUUUGACAAAAGCCCAAAAGGAAGCCACGGCUAACUCUGUGCCAGCAGCCGCGGUAAUACAGAGGCGGCAAGCGUUGUUCGGAAUUAUUGGGCGUAAAGAGCACGUAGGUGGUUUUGUAAGUCAGGUGUGAAAGCCUUCUGUUCAAAGGAAGAACGGCAUCUGAAACUGCAGAUCUUGAGUGUAGGCGGGGAGAGUGGAACUUCUGGUGGAGCGGUGAAAUGCGUAGAUAUCAGAAGGAACGUCGGCGGCGAAAGCGACUCUCUAGCCUAUUACUGACACUGAGGUGCGAAAGUUAGGGGAGCAAACGGGAUUAGAUACCCCGGUAGUCCUAACCGUAAACGAUGGGCACUAAGUAGAGGGGUUUU
This 476-nucleotide ribosomal RNA is filed under the name uncultured anaerobic ammonium-oxidizing bacterium. RNAcentral describes it as "bacterial SSU rRNA". It matches the Rfam family "Bacterial small subunit ribosomal RNA", at positions 365 to 832 of the family's 1533-position model. The record is from RNAcentral.